Molecule: ribosomal RNA, 489 nt
Filed under: Vibrio sp. AKB-2008-HE162
Lineage: Bacteria; Pseudomonadati; Pseudomonadota; Gammaproteobacteria; Vibrionales; Vibrionaceae
Description: bacterial SSU rRNA
Rfam family: Bacterial small subunit ribosomal RNA
Source: RNAcentral
AGAGUUUGAUCCUGGCUCAGAUUGAACGCUGGCGGCAGGCCUAACACAUGCAAGUCGAGCGGCAGCACAGAGGAACUUGUUCCUUGGGUGGCGAGCGGCGGACGGGUGAGUAAUGCCUGGGAAAUUGCCCGGUAGAGGGGGAUAACCAUUGGAAACGAUGGCUAAUACCGCAUAACCUCGYAAGAGCAAAGCAGGGGACCUUCGGGCCUUGCGCUAYCGGAUAUGCCCAGGUGGGAUUAGCUAGUUGGUGAGGUAAGGGCUCACCAAGGCGACGAUCCCUAGCUGGUCUGAGAGGAUGAUCAGCCACACUGGAACUGAGACACGGUCCAGACUCCUACGGGAGGCAGCAGUGGGGAAUAUUGCACAAUGGGCGCAAGCCUGAUGCAGCCAUGCCGCGUGUAUGAAGAAGGCCUUCGGGUUGUAAAGUACUUUCAGUAGGGAGGAAGGUGGUUAAGUUAAUACCUUAAUCAUUGACGUACCUACAGAAGA